Molecule: RNA transcript, 3975 nt
Organism: Zalophus californianus (California sea lion)
Lineage: Eukaryota; Metazoa; Chordata; Mammalia; Carnivora; Otariidae
Gene: HNRNPA2B1
Gene name: heterogeneous nuclear ribonucleoprotein A2/B1
Exons: 12
Source: RefSeq, a predicted model, not a curated record
GCCUGGUGGUCCCCGGAGGGGAGGGAGAGGGAAGUUGAGGCGAGGACAGUAACUGAUCUUCUAGGCGGAGGCGUUUCUGCUUCGCAGCAGCCGCGUCUGGCGCCAAAACCCGGCUCCGCCCACUUCCUCGCCCCUAGAAGUGGGUGCCUCCAAACGCUAGGGGUGAGGGAGUGAAGAGAAACUUGCAUGGGGAGAAUUGGGAGCUAAGAAGGAGUGCCCCUCUGAGACCACCCUCUCCAAAGACCUCUCUUGAACCCAAGGAGUCGACUCCCAAAGACGUUGGCCAGGGUUAGGUUGGUGGAACGUGAAGUGUAACGUGUCGACUAGAAAUCGCUUCGGGUGUUUCCGGAAGGGGCCGAGUCAGUCCUCAGCGCUGGGGGGGGAGAAUUAGGGGAGGGAAAUCGCAAGGGGGAGGUUACAAAGAUUAUUCUGGCGGGAGCUCGGGGGCGGGGGGAGGCGCGGAUUAUUACAGGCUUUGCUGCAGGGACCACCUCCCGGGUUGAGGGGGCUGGACUUUAGGGCUGUGCUUUAAGCUCCUCCCGACAGCGUUAAUUUCAAACUGCGCGACCGUUUCUCACCUGCCCUGCGCUAAGGCGGGGGCUGGACCCAAUUCCGUGAGAGAGAAAUACGCAGGACUCGAGCCUUCCGCAAUUCACUGAGACCAGUUACGCAAGUGACGUCAAGCACUACUACUGGCUGCGAGGGGAGGGAGGAGUACGUACCUGGCGUAAGGAGGGCGUAGAGCGUUCCCGCCAUUGGCGGCGGUUAGGGCGUUUACGCAACGGCUUGACGUAGGGGAAGACGCGUUAGUCGGGGGGAAGGUUCUAGAAAAGCGGCGGCAGCGGCUCUAGCGGCAGUAGCAGCAGCGCCGGGUCCCGUGUGGAGGUGCUCUUAGCGGUGUUGUUUCUCGAGCAGCGGCAGUUCUCACUACAGCGCCAGGACGAGUCCGGUUCGUGUUCGUCCGCGGAGAUCUCUCUCAUCUCGCUCGGCUGCGGGAAAUCGGGCUGAAGCGACUGAGUCCGCGAUGGAGAGAGAAAAGGAACAGUUCCGUAAACUCUUUAUUGGUGGCUUGAGCUUCGAAACCACAGAAGAAAGUUUGAGGAACUACUACGAGCAAUGGGGAAAACUUACAGACUGUGUGGUUAUGAGGGAUCCUGCAAGCAAAAGAUCAAGAGGAUUUGGUUUUGUAACUUUUUCAUCCAUGGCUGAGGUUGAUGCUGCCAUGGCUGCAAGACCUCAUUCAAUUGAUGGGAGAGUGGUUGAGCCAAAACGUGCUGUUGCAAGAGAGGAAUCUGGAAAACCAGGGGCUCACGUAACUGUGAAGAAGCUGUUUGUUGGUGGAAUUAAAGAAGAUACUGAGGAACAUCAUCUUAGAGAUUACUUCGAGGAAUAUGGAAAGAUCGAUACCAUUGAGAUAAUUACCGAUAGGCAGUCUGGAAAGAAAAGAGGCUUUGGAUUUGUUACCUUUGAUGAUCAUGACCCUGUGGAUAAGAUUGUGUUGCAGAAAUAUCAUACCAUCAAUGGUCAUAAUGCAGAAGUAAGAAAGGCUUUGUCUAGACAAGAAAUGCAGGAAGUCCAAAGUUCUAGAAGUGGAAGAGGAGGCAACUUUGGUUUUGGAGAUUCUCGUGGUGGUGGUGGAAAUUUCGGACCAGGGCCAGGAAGUAACUUUAGAGGAGGAUCUGAUGGAUAUGGAAGUGGUCGUGGAUUUGGGGAUGGCUAUAAUGGGUAUGGAGGAGGACCUGGAGGUGGCAAUUUUGGAGGUAGCCCUGGUUAUGGAGGAGGAAGAGGAGGAUAUGGUGGUGGAGGACCUGGAUAUGGCAACCAGGGUGGGGGCUACGGAGGUGGUUAUGACAACUAUGGAGGAGGAAAUUAUGGAAGUGGAAAUUACAAUGAUUUUGGAAAUUAUAACCAGCAACCCUCUAACUAUGGUCCAAUGAAGAGUGGAAACUUUGGUGGUAGCAGGAACAUGGGAGGACCAUAUGGUGGAGGAAACUAUGGUCCUGGAGGCAGUGGAGGAAGUGGGGGUUAUGGAGGGAGAAGCCGAUAUUGAGCUUCUUCCUAUUUGCCAUGGGCUUCACUGUAUAAAUAGGAGAGGAUGAGAGCCCAGAGGUAACAGAACAGCUUCAGGUUAUCGAAAUAACAAUGUUAAGGAAACUCUUAUCUCAGUCAUGCAUAAAUAUGCAGUGAUAUGGCAGAAGACACCAGAGCAGAUGCAGAGAGCCAUUUUGUGAAUGGAUUGGAUUAUUUAAUAACAUUACCUUACUGUGGAGGAAGGAUUGUAAAAAAAAAAAAAAAAAAUGCCUUUGAGACAGUUUCUUAGCUUUUUAAUUGUUGUUUCUUUCUAGUGGUCUUUGUAAGAGUGUAGAAGCAUUCCUUCUUUGAUAAUGUUAAAUUUGUAAGUUUCAGGUGACAUGUGAAACCUUUUUUAAGAUUUUUCUCAAAGUUUUGAAAAGCUAUUAGCCAGGAUCAUGGUGUAAUAAGACAUAACGUUUUUCCUUUAAAAAAAUUUAAGUGCGUGUGUAGAGUUAAGAAGCUGUUGUACAUUUAUGAUUUAAUAAAAUAAUUCUAAAGGAAAUUGUGUAAUUAUAGACUUUUUAUUUUAAAUAAGUUAAGGAGUGGGUAGUAUAAUUAAGGUCCAUUGCAAAGCUGUUGUUAUAUUUGUGUAAGAUAAAUGCUGGUCAGAUGUAAGUGUGUUGUCUGCAAUUCAUCAGGAUUAAAUUAUCUAGAUAACUUAAGGGAUAUCUCUGCAAAGAGAAACACCUUUUUAGAUCUUUUAGAUGCUGCUUCUUCAAUGCAAGGAAAGGAAAUAACCCCAGCGAGGUACUCUUCAGGGAUACAGGUCUAGUACAAGAGAACUCUUGACGGCUACUAAGUUCAGCCAGUCUUAAAAAACUGUGCUGUUUCUGCAAAGCUUUAACUACAGUAGUUUAUAAGGAUGACAACGAAAGCUGAGGGUGUAGAGCAAAAUAGUUCUAAGCUUCAGUUAAACUUCUUUAGGUAAGAUCUUAUUUACUUUUCCUUUCUUAAUUUUCCUCCCCAAAAGAUAAACUAAUACUACUCUUCAAUGGCCUUUCAGUAUAGCGGUUCUUACGUAGCUUAACAUAGUAUAAAUUUGAGUUUAACAAUUUAUAAACUCAGAAUAAUCUUAUAAACCCUGUUUUCCAAUCUGUCAUUUACUUAAAUUAUUUUGGUUGUUUUUCCCCCUCUUUUUUUUCCUUCCUUCCCACCCCCCUCCCCCUCUAUGAAGAUUCAGGUGCUUAACAUAUCAUUUUUUUCCCUGCUGGAAUUUUAGCAUUGAUAUGAACCAUGGACAAGUAUAUUCUGCUGCCACAAAGACUGUAAAGUGCUUCAUUUCAACAGCUGAGGCGCAAGCCAAGUGAUCAUUAAUAAAGCUUUUCUUGGUUCCUUCAGUGGUGUUGGUAGUAAAAUGGAAGGUGUCUUGCUGCAGGUAACUAAUGAAGAAGUGGUCAACCACAGAGUCUUCAAGAAAUAAGAAAUUCUGUACCAUCUGAAAGUAGUUCUUGUUGGUGCCUUCAUUUAAAAAAGCACUUUAAGUUUAAAGGGAAAUGUUUUCUGAUAAAAUACAAACUUCAUUUAGUACAGGUUCUUAAUAUAAAACAAUUACAAAAUGAGUAUUGUUUGUAAAAGAGUAACAUCAAGUAAGCUAGAGAGAAAUGUAUCAUGUUUUAAACUAGGUUUUGUGAGUAGACAGACAAAAAUUCUAUUUUAAAUAUAAAGUUUAUAAAAUAAACACUUUUGUAUUCAAAUAUUUGGUGUAAUGUUUACACAUAAAAUGUGUGAAUCUUGUUCUAUAAACAUUCAGUUGUCUAAAAGAUUGCCAUCCCCUAGAUUUUUAAAGCAGUUUCACAAAGCUAUGCAUAUUGCCAUUUUCUUUCAGUAUUGAUAGUCAAAUAAGAAAAGCAUUGUGGACAUUAUUGGCUGUCCCUAAUAAAAUGCCAUUCUUUAUAUACUGUA